This 463-nucleotide ribosomal RNA is filed under the name uncultured bacterium. Its description in RNAcentral is "partial 16S ribosomal RNA". It matches the Rfam family "Bacterial small subunit ribosomal RNA", at positions 28 to 507 of the family's 1533-position model. The record is from RNAcentral.
GACGAACGCUGGCGGCACGCCUAACACAUGCAAGUCGAACGGACUUAAAAGAGCUUGCUUUUGUGAGUUAGUGGCGGACGGGUGAGUAACACGUGAGCAACCUGCCUCUGAGAGGGGGAUAGCUUCUGGAAACGGAUGGUAAUACCCCAUAAAAUAUAAAUAUCGCAUGAUAGAUAUAUCAAAGAAAUUCGCUCAGAGAUGGGCUCGCGUCUGAUUAGCUAGUUGGUGAGGUAGCGGCUCACCAAGGCGACGAUCAGUAGCCGGACUGAGAGGCUGAACGGCCACAUUUGGACUGAGACACGGCCCCGACUCCGACGGGAGGGAGGAGUGGGGAAUACUGCACAAUGGAGGGAACUCUGAUGCCGCGAUGCCGCGUGGAGGAAGAAGGUUGUCGGAUUGUAAACUCCUUUUAGCAGGGACGAUAAUGACGGUACCUGAAGAAAAAGCUCCGGCUAACUACGUG